AACGAGAAAGGGGAGCAAUCCCUGAGUAAAGUGGCGACCGGGUGAGUAACACGUGACUAACCUGCCUUCNAGUGGGGGAUAACCUCGGGAAACCGGGGCUAAUACCGCAUAAUGCCUUCGGGUUAAAGGAGCAAUUCGCUUGAAGAGGGGGUCGCGGCUGAUUAGCUAGUUGGCGGGGUAACGGCCCACCAAGGCGAUGAUCGGUAGCCGGCCUGAGAGGGCGCACGGCCACACUGGAACUGAAACACGGUCCAGACUCCUACGGGAGGCAGCAGUGGGGAAUUUUGCGCAAUGGGGGAAACCCUGAUGCAGCGACGCCGCGUGAGCGAUGAAGCCCUUCGGGGUGUAAAGCUCUUUCGACGGGAACGAUAAUGACGGUACCCGGAGAAGAAGCUGCGGCUAACUACGUGCCAGCAGCCGCGGUAAUACGUAGGCAGCGAGCGUUGUUCGGAAUUACUGGGCGUAAAGAGUGUGUAGGCGGUGCUCUAAGUCUGUUGUGAAAUCUCCCGGCUUAACUGGGAGGGUGCGGCGGAAACUGGAGUGCUCNAGGGUGGGAGAGGUAAGCGGAAUUCCUGGUGUAGCGGUGAAAUGCGUAGAUAUCGGGAGGAAUACCUAUGGCGAAAGCAGGCUUCUGGGCCAUCACUGACGCUGAUCUGCGAAAGCUAGGGGAGCAAACAGGAUUAGAUACCCUGGUAGUCCUAG
Molecule: ribosomal RNA, 702 nt
Filed under: uncultured bacterium
Lineage: Bacteria
Description: bacterial SSU rRNA
Rfam family: Bacterial small subunit ribosomal RNA
Source: RNAcentral